RNAcentral lists this long non-coding RNA (833 nucleotides) under Manihot esculenta (cassava). RNAcentral describes it as "long non-coding RNA (MESC_LNC012099)". The record is from RNAcentral. Lineage: Eukaryota; Viridiplantae; Streptophyta; Magnoliopsida; Malpighiales; Euphorbiaceae.
UUUGAUUAGGAAACGUUCGCUAAUCAAACACUAAUCAACAAGUUGCCAAGGAACGUCCUUGGGGCAUUGUAGCAUCGAACAACUGUUGACUGCAUUAAGACUUAGAAAAACCCAAUUCUAUCCUUGCCAACCGCGUGGUCAAGUUUAGAUUAUGCAACUUGAUUAAAUGUGUAUUUGAACAACCUAAGCAAUUACGGACCUAAAUCAUUCAAACAAUAUUACUUAAGCAAUUUAAAAGCAAUGGGCCCUUAUUGAUUCUAAAAGCAAAGUAAUAAUUAUGGAAAAGAUCAGAUUGCAUAAAUAUUGAAACAAACAAGAGUUCAACAAUGGAGUAUUAAACCUCCCAAUUCAUCACAAAUCUGAAUAUUCUCAACUUCAACUAGAAAAGGAUGAAACUAGCCACUCAUGGUGGGCAAAAUACACAAAAGAAAGAAGAGAAAAAGGGAAGAAGCUGCAGAAUUUUUGGAGAGUUUCUGACGAGUUGAGUUGCUGAUCAGAGGAUGGCUUGCUGGUUUGGAGGCUCUCCUUUUAUAGCUGCAGAUUUCCAUCCAUCUAGGGUUUCAAAAUCCCUUUUUGAUUUAGUGUUUGACUCCUCUUUUGACGUUGAAUUUAAUUGCAAUUGGAAUUCCUUGGAUGAGAAGUUCUUUUCGUGGCUCUUGGAUUUGUAUUGAUAGUGAUUGAGUUGGAUUUGGACUUCUGAAAAUUCGGAUUUCUGUUUUCUGCCCAAAUUCCCGCUUUGCUGUCAGUUUCUAUUGUGAAAGUGAUUUGCCCGGUGAUUUGACCAGUUUCUUCAAGUGAUUGGGCAAAUCACAGACCCGAUCACGUUUCUGCGA